Molecule: ribosomal RNA, 203 nt
Filed under: Nebria hellwigii
Lineage: Eukaryota; Metazoa; Arthropoda; Insecta; Coleoptera; Carabidae
Description: partial 28S ribosomal RNA
Rfam family: Eukaryotic large subunit ribosomal RNA
Source: RNAcentral
GGACCAAGGAGUCUAGCAUGUACGCGAGUCAUUGGGUCAGAUACAAUCUAAACCUAAAGGCGAAAUGAAAGUAAAAGUUUAUAAUUUUUACAUAAACUAAGGGAAGAUGGGCUUCCCAAUUGUCGGUGAAGCCUCGCACUCCCGGACCGUCCCAUACACUCAUUGCGAGUUGGGGCGGAUCUAGAGCGUACACGCUGGGACCC